Molecule: transfer RNA, 73 nt
Filed under: Camelus bactrianus (Bactrian camel)
Lineage: Eukaryota; Metazoa; Chordata; Mammalia; Artiodactyla; Camelidae
Also listed under: 2 other names
Rfam family: tRNA
About the family: Transfer RNA (tRNA) molecules are approximately 80 nucleotides in length. Their secondary structure includes four short double-helical elements and three loops (D, anti-codon, and T loops).
Source: Rfam by way of RNAcentral
GGAGGUAGAGCUCAGUGGUAGAGCACAUGCUUAGCAUGCACAAGGUCCUGGGUUUAAUCUCCCAGAAUCUCCA